UACAGAGGUCCCGAGCGUUGUUCGGAUUCAUUGGGCGUAAAGGGUGCGUAGGCGGCGGGGAAAGUCUGAUGUGAAAUCCUGGGGCUCAACCCUGGAACUGCAUUGGAUACUUCCUUGCUAGAGUACUGGAGAGGAAACUGGAAUUUACGGUGUAGCAGUGAAAUGCGUAGAGAUCGUAAGGAAGACCAGUGGCGAAGGCGAGUUUCUGGACAGUUACUGACGCUGAGGCAGCGAAGGCCAGGGGAGCAAACGGG
This 254-nucleotide ribosomal RNA is filed under the name uncultured bacterium. RNAcentral describes it as "partial 16S ribosomal RNA". It matches the Rfam family "Bacterial small subunit ribosomal RNA", at positions 524 to 776 of the family's 1533-position model. The record is from RNAcentral.